This 363-nucleotide ribosomal RNA is filed under the name Ostreococcus mediterraneus. RNAcentral's name for it is "partial Bacterial large subunit ribosomal RNA". It matches the Rfam family "Bacterial large subunit ribosomal RNA", at positions 789 to 1150 of the family's 2925-position model. The record is from RNAcentral. Lineage: Eukaryota; Viridiplantae; Chlorophyta; Mamiellophyceae; Mamiellales; Bathycoccaceae.
UUGAAAAGCCAGGGGAUGACUUGUGGAUCGGAGUGAAAGGCUAAUCAAGCCCGGAGAUAGCUGGUUCUCCCCGAAAGCUAUUUAGGUAGCGCCUCGGACGAAUACCACAGGGGGUAGAGCACUGUUUCGGCUAGGGGGUCAUCCCGACUUACCAACCCGAUGCAAACUCCGAAUACCUGUGAGUACUAUCCGGGAGACACACGGUGGGUGCUAACGUCCAUCGUGAAGAGGGAAACAACCCAGACCGCCAGCUAAGGUCCCCAAAUACCAGUUAAGUGGGAAACGAUGUGGGAAGGCUCAGACAGCUAGGAGGUUGGCUUAGAAGCAGCCAUCCUUUAAAGAAAGCGUAAUAGCUCACUAGUC